CUACGGGGCGCACCAGUGAGGAAUAUUGCACAAUGGGGGGAACCCUGAUGCAGCAACGCCGCGUGGAGGAUGACGCAUUUCGGUGUGUAAACUCCUUUUAUAUGUCAAGAAAAUGACGGUAGCAUAUGAAUAAGCACCGGCUAACUCCGUGCCAGCAGCCGCGGUAAUACGGAGGGUGCAAGCGUUACUCGGAAUCACUGGACGUAAAGGACGCGUAGGCGGGUUGGAAAGUCAGGUGUGAAAUCCUACAGCUUAACUGUAGAACUGCACUUGAAACUUCCAAUCUAGAGUAUGGGAGGGGGAGAUGGAAUUAGUGGUGUAGGGGUAAAAUCCGUAGAUAUCACUAGGAAUACCUAAAGCGAAGGCGAUCUCCUGGAACAUUACUGACGCUAAGGCGUGAAAGCGUGGGGAGCAAACAGGAUUAGAUACCCCUGUAGUC
Molecule: ribosomal RNA, 439 nt
Filed under: uncultured bacterium
Lineage: Bacteria
Description: partial 16S ribosomal RNA
Rfam family: Bacterial small subunit ribosomal RNA
Source: RNAcentral